Molecule: small nucleolar RNA, 84 nt
Organism: Hippoglossus stenolepis (Pacific halibut)
Lineage: Eukaryota; Metazoa; Chordata; Actinopteri; Pleuronectiformes; Pleuronectidae
Product: small nucleolar RNA SNORA47
Exons: 1
Source: RefSeq, a predicted model, not a curated record
AGGAGGACUGAGAAGGUUGAGCAGCUUCUGCUGUGCUGCUAUAACUGGUUAUAGCCUCCAAGAGUAAUUUACAAUCCACAUUUA